This 97-nucleotide microRNA precursor is filed under the name Nicotiana sylvestris (wood tobacco). RNAcentral describes it as "MIR6152 microRNA precursor family". It matches the Rfam family "MIR6152 microRNA precursor family". Lineage: Eukaryota; Viridiplantae; Streptophyta; Magnoliopsida; Solanales; Solanaceae. The record is from Rfam by way of RNAcentral.
UGGAUAGAUUAUUGUAUUCGACUGUAUUCACGACAUGAAAUAGGGGAUUACACUGUUUUUAAAACGGAAAGUGAAUCACUUAACAUAAUAGACUCCU